RNAcentral lists this ribosomal RNA (254 nucleotides) under uncultured bacterium. RNAcentral describes it as "partial 16S ribosomal RNA". It matches the Rfam family "Bacterial small subunit ribosomal RNA", at positions 524 to 776 of the family's 1533-position model. The record is from RNAcentral.
UACGAAGGGGGCGAGCGUUGUUCGGAUUUACUGGGCGUAAAGGGCGCGCAGGCGGCGAUCUUUGUCAGGCGUGAAAGCCCCGGGCUUAACCUGGGAACUGCGCUUGGGACGGGAUUGCUGGAGACCGGGAGAGGAGAGUGGAAUUCCCAGUGUAGAGGUGAAAUUCGUAGAUAUUGGGAAGAACACCGGUGGCGAAGGCGGCAUCCUGGACCAACACUGACGCUGAGUGAGCGAAAGCCAGGGGAGCAAACGGG